Molecule: small nuclear RNA, 104 nt
Organism: Otolemur garnettii (small-eared galago)
Lineage: Eukaryota; Metazoa; Chordata; Mammalia; Primates; Galagidae
Source: Ensembl
GUGCUCGCUUUGGCAGCACAUGUACUAAAAUUGGAAUGAUACAGAGAUUAGUAUGGCCCCGGUACAAGGGUGACACACAAAUUCAUAAAGCAGUCUAUACUUUU